GAUGAACGCUGGCGGCGUGCCUAAUACAUGCAAGUCGAGCGAACAGACGAGGAGCUUGCUCCUCUGACGUUAGCGGCGGACGGGUGAGUAACACGUGGAUAACCUACCUAUAAGACUGGGAUAACUUCGGGAAACCGGAGCUAAUACCGGAUAAUAUAUUGAACCGCAUGGUUCAAUAGUGAAAGACGGUUUUGCUGUCACUUAUAGAUGGAUCCGCGCCGCAUUAGCUAGUUGGUAAGGUAACGGCUACCAAGGCGACGAUGCGUAGCCGACCUGAGAGGGUGAUAGGCCACACUGGAACUGAGACACGGUCCAGACUCCUACGGGAGGCAGCAGUAGGGAAUCUUCCGCAAUGGGCGAAAGCCUGACGGAGCAACGCCGCGUGAGUGAUGAAGGUCUUCGGAUCGUAAAACUCUGUUAUUAGGGAAGAACAAAUGUGUAAGUAACUAUGCACGUCUUGACGGUACCUAAUCAGAAAGCCACGGCUAACUACGUG
RNAcentral lists this ribosomal RNA (496 nucleotides) under uncultured bacterium. RNAcentral's name for it is "partial 16S ribosomal RNA". It matches the Rfam family "Bacterial small subunit ribosomal RNA", at positions 28 to 507 of the family's 1533-position model. The record is from RNAcentral.